This is a long non-coding RNA of Scaptodrosophila lebanonensis, 571 nucleotides long. RefSeq lists it as uncharacterized. The transcript has 5 exons. NCBI's taxonomy places the organism in Eukaryota, Metazoa, Arthropoda, Insecta, Diptera, Drosophilidae. The record is from RefSeq and is a predicted model, not a curated record.
AAAGAAGCCUACAACUACUGUACCAUUGCAGUGCAAAUACACACACAUGUACAACAAGCACACAACAUAAAGAAUGUGUAUGUGUGUGUGUGCGUGUGCGUGUGAGGAAGUUGUAGUUUAAUGUUGGUUGCAUCAUAGAAAAUCUUCAUCCCUGGAAUGUCUAUUUAGAGUGCACCAGAUGUGGCGUCUUUUAGGAUGCUAAUGCCCGUAUUAUUAUUACCAGAGGUCUUCAGAUAUAUUUUACGCGUAUAAAUAAAACGAUUAUUCAUCAUUGUCAGCUGUGAACAGGAUGCAGCUCUGUUAGCUUUGACCUCGGGGCUGGCACAUUAACAGUGUGGAACACGCAAAGCGGAAACGGAAGUGACGCUGUAUAAGGCAGUGGCAGCCGAAAAGCACGCGCUUUUUUGUGUGCGCCAACAAACAACAAACGUACAGUUAAAUAAUAAAAAUUAAUAUACAAUAAAAUGUAAAGCACGAUAACAACAAGAGGAGCAACAACAACAACAACUACAUCAACAAGAACAACAGAAACAAGCUGUUGAACAUGCCAAAAAGGCUCGUAGCAUCAACU